This 894-nucleotide ribosomal RNA is filed under the name Cortinarius peraureus. RNAcentral describes it as "partial large subunit ribosomal RNA". It matches the Rfam family "Eukaryotic large subunit ribosomal RNA", at positions 39 to 919 of the family's 3401-position model. Lineage: Eukaryota; Fungi; Basidiomycota; Agaricomycetes; Agaricales; Cortinariaceae. The record is from RNAcentral.
CAUAUCAAUAAGCGGAGGAAAAGAAACUAACAAGGAUUCCCCUAGUAACUGCGAGUGAAGCGGGAAAAGCUCAAAUUUAAAAUCUGUCAGUCUUUGGCUGUCCGAGUUGUAAUCUAGAGAAGUGUUAUCCGCGCUGGACCGUGUACAAGUCUCCUGGAAUGGAGCGUCAUAGAGGGUGAGAAUCCCGUCUUUGACACGGACUGCCAGGGCUUUGUGAUGUGCUCUCAAAGAGUCGAGUUGUUUGGGAAUGCAGCUCAAAAUGGGUGGUAAAUUCCAUCUAAAGCUAAAUAUUGGCGAGAGACCGAUAGCGAACAAGUACCGUGAGGGAAAGAUGAAAAGAACUUUGGAAAGAGAGUUAAACAGUACGUGAAAUUGCUGAAAGGGAAACGCUUGAAGUCAGUCGCGUUGUCCAGGGAUCAACCUUGCUUUUGCUUGGUGUACUUUCUGGUUGACGGGUCAGCAUCAAUUUUGACCAUUGGAAAAAUAUCAGGGGAAUGUGGCAUCUUCGGAUGUGUUAUAGCCCUUGGUUGUAUACAAUGGUUGGGAUUGAGGAACUCAGCACGCCGCAAGGCCGGGUUUUUAACCACGUACGUGCUUAGGAUGCUGGCAAAAUGGCUUUAAUCGACCCGUCUUGAAACACGGACCAAGGAGUCUAACAUACCUGCGAGUGUUUGGGUGGAAAACCCGAGCGCGUAAUGAAAGUGAAAGUUGAGAUCCCUGUCAUGGGGAGCAUCGACGCCCGGACCAGACCUUUUGUGACGGUUCCGCGGUAGAGCAUGUAUGUUGGGACCCGAAAGAUGGUGAACUAUGCCUGAAUAGGGUGAAGCCAGAGGAAACUCUGGUGGAGGCUCGUAGCGAUUCUGACGUGCAAAUCGAUCGUCAAAUUUGGGUAUA